This 258-nucleotide ribosomal RNA is filed under the name uncultured bacterium. Its description in RNAcentral is "partial 16S ribosomal RNA". It matches the Rfam family "Bacterial small subunit ribosomal RNA", at positions 167 to 432 of the family's 1533-position model. The record is from RNAcentral.
UACCUGAUAGUCUCUACGGAGUAAAUGAUGCCUUCGGGUGUCGCUAAAGGAUGGGCUCGCGGCCUAUCAGUUUGUUGGUGAGGUAAAGGCUCACCAAGACUACGACGGGUAGCUGGUCUGAGAGGACGAUCAGCAACACUGGAACUGAGACACGGUCCAGACACCUACGGGUGGCAGCAGUCGAGAAUCAUUCACAAUGGAGGAAACUCUGAUGGUGCAACGCCGCGUGGAGGAUGACGGCCCUAGGGUUGUAAACUC